AGCAGCCGCGGUAAUUCCAGCUCCAAUAGCGUAUAUUAAAGUUGUUGCAGUUAAAAAGCUCGUAGUUGAAUUUCGGGGUCAGUAGGCUGGUCGUGCCACAGGUACGUACUGGUCUCACUGAUUCCUCCUUCCUGAUGAACUGUAAUGCCAUUAAUUUGGUGUUGCGGGGAAACUGGACUGUUACUUUGAAAAAAUUAGAGUGUUUAAAGCAGGCUAACGCUUGAAUACAUUAGCAUGGAAUAAUGGAAAUAGGACGUUCGAUCCUAUUUUGUUGGUUUCUAGGAUUGACGUAAUGAUUAAUAGGGAUAGUUGGGGGCAUUAGUAUUCAAUUGUCAGAGGUGAAAUUCUUGGAUUUAUUGAAGACUAACUACUGCGAAAGCAUUUGCCAAGGAUGUUUUCAUUAAUCAAGAACGAAAGUUAGGGGAUCGAAGACGAUCAGAUACCGUCGUAGUCUUAACCAUAAACUAUGCCGACUAGGGAUCGGAUGAUGUUAAUUUUUAAUGACUCAUUCGGCGCCUUA
This 520-nucleotide ribosomal RNA is filed under the name uncultured Glomus. Its description in RNAcentral is "SSU rRNA". It matches the Rfam family "Eukaryotic small subunit ribosomal RNA", at positions 569 to 1090 of the family's 1831-position model. The record is from RNAcentral. Lineage: Eukaryota; Fungi; Glomeromycota; Glomeromycetes; Glomerales; Glomeraceae.